RNAcentral lists this long non-coding RNA (795 nucleotides) under Manihot esculenta (cassava). RNAcentral's name for it is "long non-coding RNA (MESC_LNC005088)". The record is from RNAcentral. Lineage: Eukaryota; Viridiplantae; Streptophyta; Magnoliopsida; Malpighiales; Euphorbiaceae.
GGGUCUUGAGUAAGAGCUUAAGUGGAAACAAGGAUCUAGAGAAAGGAAGAUUAUUUGACUAUGUUUAUUUGCUUGAGGACAAGCAAAAGGCUAGGUGUGGGGGUAUUAAUUUUUGACUCGCGGUUGUCGAAGCUGGUCAAAAAUAACCUUCUUAGUUAUCAACAAUUUACAACUGCAAAUAGUGGUGAAGGAUCGAAUCCACAGAGAAUUGAUUACCUAUUUAUUUUUCUCAACAAGACCAAUAAAAUAAACUGAAAUAAUGAGAUAAAUAAAAAAUGAGAUAAACUGAAAGCGGAAUAAAAAUAAAUUGCAGUCAAAGUAAAAUGGGGGGUUUGAGAUUGAUUUGAUUAAUAAACUAUUAAAAGCAAUUAAAAUAAUCGAAUAAUAAAAUAAAAGAGAAAUAAAUAAUAAGAAAGCUCUAGUUGAGGUAUUGGAUUCACUUUAGUCAUUGGGGUUGAUCACAGACACUUUGUUCUUUUGGGUUGAUUCAAUAGAUUAGUUUAUGGAGAUGGAAGACGCUUCGCACCACCAUUAUCUCUCCUUAUGAUUAAACCAAUUAGGGAACGUCCUCUAAUUAAUUACUAAUUAACAAAUUGCCAAGGAACGUCAUUGGGCCUUAGGCAUCAAAACAAUUGUUAAUUGCAUUAAGAAAUAGAGAGAUCCAAUCCUAGCUACCCAAACGUAUGGAGAUAACGCUAGAUCAUGCAAUUUUCUUGGGUUUUAUCCCAAGUGUUCUCAUGUAAGAAUAACUCAAGCAAUUACGGACUUAAAUUAUUCAAACUAAUAAAUAAUUAU